This 2581-nucleotide ribosomal RNA is filed under the name Kappaphycus striatus. Its description in RNAcentral is "LSU rRNA". It matches the Rfam family "Bacterial large subunit ribosomal RNA". The record is from RNAcentral. Lineage: Eukaryota; Rhodophyta; Florideophyceae; Gigartinales; Solieriaceae.
AAAUUUUUAUACCAGGCAUUCAAUAGUAAUCUUGAUAAAAAAUGUAAAAGGGGCGUUUCGCCACGAAAUUUAUGAGUAGGCAUUGGCUUGUAAUUUAUAAAUUCCCCAUGAGUAAACUCUAUGUUAAAGUAAAAAUUUAUAGUAAUGCGAAUUGAAUCAUCUUAGUAGCAUUAAUAAAAAUCAACCGAGAAAUCGUGAUUAAUGGCGAGUAAAAGCGAUUUAGAGCUUAAAGUUCAAAAAUUUUAACUUAUGAAAUUACUUUAAAAGGUAAAAGUCCUGUAAUAAGUUAAAAACUUGACAUUGAUAAGUAGUGUGAAAUUUUCCUUUUGCGCGAAUAAAGGAGAACCACCUUCUAAGCUUCUUGACUUUUUUUAAUCGAUAGUGAACGAGUACUGUGAAGAAAAGAUGAAAAAUUCCGUAAGGUUACAAUUUUAAAUUGAAUGUCUUUAAAUAUUCGAAAUUUCAUUGUAGAUAACGAAGUUCCUUUUGCAUAAUGAGUCAGUAAGUUAAUAAGUAUAGCAAGCCGAUAUAUUUAUAAGUAGGCCAGGUUAAAGUAAUAUUUAUUAAACCCGAAACCAAGUGAUCUAGUCAUGAGCAAGUUGAAAAUUCUUUAAUAAGUUUUCGAGGACUAAACUCAUAUAUGUAGCAAGAUAUAGGGAAGACUUAUGGCUAGGAGUGAAAGUCUAAUCAAACUUGGAAAUAGCUGGUUUUUCACGAAACGUAUUUUAGUACGGCAUUAAUUAUUUUGUAAAUCUGAGGUAAAGUUCAAGUCAAGUUGAGGGAUUUUUAAUUUACUUAACUUAAUUUAUCUUCUAAGUUUGAUUUAAUAAAAUUAAUAGAAAGUCUUUAGGCGAUAAGGUUUAAAGACUAAAGGGCAACAACCCAGAUCGCAUGUUAAGAUCUUAAAAGUAUAUUUUUUAGUGUGAAAGUUUUUAAAAGAGUCAAAUAGCUUUGAAUAGGCUUAGAAGCAGCCUUUUAUUAGAGAAAGCGUUUUAGCUCGCUAUUGCUUUUUUUUAAAUUAAGAUAAUAAAGGCUCAAAUUAUAUAUCGAAACAGCGAACCGAAUUAACUCGGUGGUAGUGAAACGUUCUGUAAAUUUUAUUUUAAUUUUAAAAUUAAUUUAAGAAUUCAGGAGUGUCUAUGCUGACAUGAGUAGCGUAAACUAUGUUAAAAAAUCAUAGUCACUUUAUGUUUAAGGUUUUCAAUGUAAUUUUAAGUUCAUUGAGUUAAUCGGUCCUUAAGAGAAAAAAAUUGUGAAAAUGAUACUCGAUAGGAAUUACUAUGAAAUCUGCUAUAUGUGGUACUUUAUAUCAUUUAAAAGAGUUUAAAUAAUUUAAAAAGUGGUUUUAAAAAUUGAGAUUUAUUCUCUUCGAGAAAAAAUUAUAGCUACAAAGACCGUAUUUAAACCGACACAGGGAAACUUAUUGAGUAUAUUAAAGUGAAUGAACAAAUUAUAUUUAAGGAAUUAGGCAAAUUAACUUCGUAAGUUCGCAAUAAGAAGUGCCUUUUAGAGGCAAAAUAAAAAAAAGCAGCGACUGGUUACCAAAACCAUAGGACUUUGCAAAUUUUUUAAAAAGUAUAAGGUCUGACGCCUGCCCAGUGCUUAAAAAUAAUAAGUUGAAGUAUUAGCUUUAUCUUUAAAAGUAAGUAAACGGCGGUUCUAACUAUAAGAAUCCUCAGGUAGCGAAACUCCUUGACGGGUAAAUUCCGUCCUGCAUGAAUGGCGUAACGACUGCUUUACUGUCUCAAAUAUAAAUUCAGCGAAAUUACAACACCUGUGAAAAUGCAGGUUACUUACAGCAAGACGGAAAGACCCUAGAUCCUUUACUUGAUUUUCAUAUUGUAAGAAUUAUGAACUCGUAUAGCAUAGGCGGCAGUUUAAACGUCCUUGAAAUACCGCCCUGUUUAAAUAAUAUCUUACUUAUUUAUCCAUACUACUAAAGAAACUAUGAGAAAGAAAGUUUACUUGGGACGAGUACCUCCUAAAAAGUAACGGAGGUGUACAAAGGUAAGUUGUAAAUGUAUAAUGGCUCAAGCUUACUUGACUUUAAGAUUGAUAAAUCGAACUGAGAUACAAGUCAGUCAUAAUGACCCGAUAUUUAAGCGUGGAAUUUAAUAUCGUUUAACAGAUAAAAGGAACUCUAGGGAUAACAGAUUCAUCGUGAUUGCGAGUUCAUAUCUAUGUCACGGUUUGAUACCUCGAUGUCGACUCAUCUUAUCCUGGAGUUGAAGUAAACUCCAAGGGUCUAGUUGUUCGCUAGUUAAAAAGGUACGUGAGUUGGGUUCAGAACGUCGUGAGACAGUUCGGUCCCUAUCUGCUGUAAGAGUUGAAAAAUAAGGGUUCUUUUUUCUAGUACGAGAGGACCGAAACAGCUUAACCUCUGGUCAAUUGAUUGUUAAACCAUUAGCAUAGUCAAAUAGCCAAGUUAGUCUUAUAUAAAUACUGAAAGAAUCAAAAGUAUUAAGAUAAACCCUAAAUUUUUCGAGAAUAUUCUAAAAGAUUAUUAGAUUGAUCGAUUUAAAAGAUGUUUUUAGCAAUAAAAAUUUUUAAUAAACACGAAAAUAUUCAAUAAAAUAUUUUA